UGUUUGGUUGUCAUAGAAAUUAUAAAAAAAAUUUUUUUUUAUGCUCCUCAAAAAAAGUGAGCAUUUUCUAGGGCUUCACUCAAGAUCGAGAUUAUAUUGGUGUUGUCUUGUUCUCGUCUUGACUCAUCAAGACUUAUCAAGACGAUAUUAUAGAUGACAAUUCAAGACCAAGACCAAUAUCAUUAAAAAUAUCUUGCUAAGUCUUGACAAGACUUAUAAAUACAAUGACUAUUCGUAUGAAUUUCAAGUAUUAACGUCUGUAAGCAGUAUAUGGAAUGCGUUAUAUGUGUAGUGUAUACUUGAUACUCUUUGUCUAUUUAGAAUAUCAUUCAGUUACUUUCUAACAUUUGAAGAAAAGAGACAUAUUGUUUAUCGUUGUCGUAUUGAUAAAAUUUUUGAUAAGUUUAUAUUACUGUUUUUGAGCAAUUAUUGAAAAAAAUUCAACAAAAAAUAUGAGUGGAAUAAAACGGAAGUGGGCUGAACUGAAUAACGAAAAUGAUAGUGACAUGUUAGAUCAACCAAGUGCUGUUGAGGUGACGAGAAAAACCGUAGUGAGUGUUAAAGCAUCAAAAUUUACUAGUUAUUUCCGCUACGAAUUACAUAAAAAUGAUAAAGUGGCCAUUUGUUUGGAAUGUGAAAAAGAAAGAAUCAAAAUCCUAUUAAAAAGGAAAAAUAGUAAUACAACAACGAUGAAAAAACACUUAGAAAAAAGUCAUCCCGAUAUUUAUACAAAUAUGUUUGGAGAUACGAAGACAUAACUUGAAACUGGACAACAGAUGUUGAAUAAUUUUUGCUCAUUAGAAGCUAAAAUCGAGGAUAUAGAUAUAAAUACUCUAUUGAUCGAAUGGAUUGUUAUAAAAAAAUUACCAUUUAGUUUUUUUGACGAUGACUAUACCAAAAAGCUAUUUAGCUUAUUGAAUAGCACCAUUAUUUUACCAAAACGAAAUGCUGCACGGCGACUUAUGGUCGAACAAUUUAAAAAAACCAAGCUUACUGUUGCAAAUAUAUUACAAAACAAUUCCUCAAAUCUAUCUUUUACGAUCGAUGGAUGGUCAUCGUUGAAUGGAAAGUCUUAUUAUGGUAUUACAGCACAUUUUAUUGAUGAUAAUUAGGAAAUUCAAUCUUUGGCAUUGGAUUUUAUUCCAUCUGAAAGCAAUCAUACAGGAAAAGCAAUCGCUACAAUGUUUCUUAAAGUACUACAAAGUUUCAACAUUGAACAUAAAGUACAGGGUGUAACUAUGGAUAAUGUGUCUGCAAAUACUGUUUUUAUGACUGAACUAAAAGAGAUGAUGGAUAAACAAAACAUUGCUUUUGAUAACACUAGUCAACACUUCAGAUGUUUCGCUCACAUUUUACAUUUAGGAGUUCAAGAUAUUUUAAAAUAUCUAAAAGUAGAUAUAUCUGCUGAAGAUUUUAUUGAAUCUAUUCAUUCGCCAAAAUUCGAAGCUUCUGAAGAAGAGAUUCAAGAAAACUUAGUGGAUGGAUUUGCUGAUGAUGACAACGAUAAUAAGAAUAAUGAAUAUUCUGCUAAGUACACCGAUUCCAUAUUAAAGUUGCGAAAGAUAUUUGUAAAACUACGUCUAUCGGAAAAACUUCAAAUUAAAUUACAAGAGUUUUGUAAAGUUAGUAAUAUUACAUAUUUCAAACCAAUAUUAGAUGUUCGUACAAGAUGGAACAGCACAUUUGAUAUGAUAGAUAUUGGAUUAAAAUUAAAGAAAGCUUUGGCUUUACUGUGCGUAAGUUGUAUAAAAGAACUAUCUGCUUUGAAAUUGAGCGAUUCUGAAUGGGAACUUUUAGAGCAAGUCUAUAAAUAUUUAAAACAUUUUUAAAAAAUAUCAACUCUACUCGAAGGUGAAAAAUAUGUGACUUUACCCAUAGUUGUUGUGGCAUUCAAUAUGUUAAUCGACAAACUUGAACAACACAUUGUAAUUUUAGACAAAAAAAAACGAACAGAAGUAGAAGAUAUUUAAACUGUCGCACUUAAAACUGGACGAGAUAAAAUGCUGAAGCAUUAUUAUAAAUGUAAUUGGGUAUAUUGUGCAGUAUUGAUAUUGGAUCCUCGUCAUAAAUUAAAAACUUUUGAUCGUACAACGUGGGGAAGGGAAAUGAAAGAAACAUCACUUGAGGAAUUUGAAAAAAUUUUCAAAAAAAAAUAUUCUGCGAUAGACGACGUUGAUAACAUUAUUGAAGACGAAUCAGAUACUGAGUAUGAUAUAGAUGAAAUUGACAUCGGCUCUAUUUUUGAGAAACCAAAAAAAAUGAAUCGCUGGGAUGGUGAGUUGACGGAGUAUCUGAGUUUACCAUUAAUGAGUAAAGACACUAAAAUAUUGGAUUGGUGGAAAACUUGGGAUAAAAAUUUUCCUUCGUUAGCUAAAAUGGCAAAGGAUCUUUUUUCCAUAAUGGCGACAUCGGUACCUUGUGAAAGGUUUUUUUCACAAGCUAAUUUAACCAUAACGAAAACCAGAAACUCACUGAAUAAUGAGUCAGUGCAGGCAUUGUAAUGUUUAAAUUCAUGGCUUACAUGUAGCCUAAAAAAUAAAAUUAAAAGUAUAACUUUUAAAAAUGAUAAUUAACAUUAUCAACUUUUUUAACUCUGUGAUCAAUAAUUAAUUGCUUACGGCAAUGUAAUACACUAUAUGUAGAAUUGAUUAUUAAUGAUCUUAGGUUAUUAACUUAAGCUUAUGUAAUUUUUAUUUUUUUG
Molecule: long non-coding RNA, 2701 nt
Organism: Microplitis mediator
Lineage: Eukaryota; Metazoa; Arthropoda; Insecta; Hymenoptera; Braconidae
Exons: 3
Source: RefSeq, a predicted model, not a curated record